AAGGUCACAAUCAACAUUCAUUGCUGUCGGUGGGUUUAACUGUGUGGACAAGCUCACUGAACAAUGAAUGCAACUGUGGCCCCACUU
This 87-nucleotide microRNA precursor is filed under the name Vombatus ursinus (common wombat). RNAcentral describes it as "microRNA 181b-1 (ENSVURG00010004560.1)". It matches the Rfam family "mir-181 microRNA precursor family". From Rfam's summary of the family: In this case the mature sequence comes from the 5' arm of the precursor. The record is from RNAcentral. Lineage: Eukaryota; Metazoa; Chordata; Mammalia; Diprotodontia; Vombatidae.